AGUCAUUGUUUUCGCCUGCUUUCCUUCCCGAGCCGCCGCCGCCGCCGCUCCCCUUCUGCCUGUCUUUUCUCUUUCCUCCUGCUCUCUCUUUCUACAGGCUCCGUCUAACCUCCCCCCCCCCUUUCCUCAAGGGAAUAAAGGUCGUAACGCAAAUGAUUACUCAAACCCGAGUUGCCAUAGAAACGCAGUCAUGUGACUGGAGCAGGCAUGCAUAGAGCACAACAAAGAGGUGGAUCAGGAACCAGCGCUGGGAAGAGCUGUAGCUCGCCUUACUGGUGCCUCGGCGCAUUUCACUCAAAUUCGAGCUUUUAAAAAUAGGCGAGCAGCAUGAAACGCGAAGGGGGGAGAGGAGCGGAGAGGACACAGCUGAAAGGAGCCGGGGACGAGGGGCUGCGCCGAAUCUGGGCUGUAGCACUGCAGUGUGCCAUAUAUUCUGCCAUUCACCAGCAUACCAAGGACGCUGACGAGGAACCGACCCGGAGACGCAAACACGCAGCGUGCGGGAAAGGGGUGAGCGUGACCCCUUCACCGACUCCCGGCCAUUUCCCUUCCAAAGUCCAGCUCAACUCCCAUGGGGCUUCGGGCAGCAGCUGAGUGUUCAGUGAUGUCUGCAAUUAUCCCGUGUCUAGACAAUGUCUAGUGGAAGACAAGGAGAUGCACAGCCUGCGCUCUAUAGAAGAAAAGGCCCAGAAUAGACCAGUGUGUCUUUCAGUUGGUGACAUGGUGGUGGAUGAAAAGGUUAGGGCCAGACCAGGAACUCAGCCAACGGGCUCCAGCAUUUGGGAUUAGUCAAGAGGGUUCACAUGAAAGACAAUGCUGUCUGAAUGAUAAAAAAAUGAUUUAAAAAAGGGUUUAUAACAUUUAAUAAUUAAAAUCAAUUAAAUAGAAGAAAAAGUGUUGGUUUUAGAGUAUAAGGCAACGCUUCCAUUAUUCGUCCAUAAACCUGCAGGUGAUUGGUUGAAAACAGAAAUAGUUAAGAAAAUAAAAUUGCUUGUGAAGAA
Long non-coding RNA from Betta splendens (Siamese fighting fish), 1001 nucleotides. RefSeq lists it as uncharacterized. Lineage: Eukaryota; Metazoa; Chordata; Actinopteri; Anabantiformes; Osphronemidae. The transcript has 2 exons. The record is from RefSeq and is a predicted model, not a curated record.